CUGGGCUCGAACGGCUUUGGGUCAUCUUUGGAAACAGAGACUUCUCGCAAGAGACCGGAGUCGAGGUGCUGCAUGGCUGUCGUCAGCUCGUGUCGUGAGGUGUUGGGUUAAGUCCCGCAACGAGCGCAACCCUUGUCCUGUGUUGCCACUCCCGUAAGGGAAGCACUCUCAGGAGACCGCCAGCGAUAAGUUGGAGGAAGGUGGGGAUGAUGUCAAGUCAUCAUGGCCUUUAUGUCCAGGGCUACACACGUGCUACAAUGGACGGUACAAAGCGCUGCAAACCCGCGAGGGGGAGCCAAUCGCAAAAAACCGUUCUCAGUUCGGAUCGCAGGCUGCAACUCGCCUGCGUGAAGCUGGAAUCGCUAGUAAUGGCGUAUCAGAACGAUGCCGUGAAUACGUUCCC
Molecule: ribosomal RNA, 403 nt
Filed under: uncultured bacterium
Lineage: Bacteria
Description: bacterial SSU rRNA
Rfam family: Bacterial small subunit ribosomal RNA
Source: RNAcentral